Molecule: long non-coding RNA, 282 nt
Filed under: Elaeis guineensis (African oil palm)
Lineage: Eukaryota; Viridiplantae; Streptophyta; Magnoliopsida; Arecales; Arecaceae
Description: long non-coding RNA (EGUI_LNC037260)
Source: RNAcentral
UCCCUCUUUCUCCCUUUCAAAAUGCAUCUCUCCCACUAGUGAAUGCCCACCCCCACGGGCUUUUGUCUAACCCACCACUGGCUCUCACCCUCUACCCCUAUGCUCUCUCUCAUCCCAAUCUCUUCUUCUACACUACCUCCUCCCCUUUUCAAGGGGUAAUUCCCACCUGUCGCCUCCAUCCACUGUCAACUCUUCCCCAACCUCCAACUCCCAUCCGCUACCCCCAUUAGCCACACUCUUAUCUUCUCUCUUUAGCAUCCGUGAACACCGAUGCCACCCCAA